This 3877-nucleotide long non-coding RNA is filed under the name Gallus gallus (chicken). Lineage: Eukaryota; Metazoa; Chordata; Aves; Galliformes; Phasianidae. The record is from RNAcentral.
CAACUAUGUACUUCGUUGUGCUUUUCCUUUUCCAUCUUUAAAUUUCAUGCAUAGUAGUAUGUUACUUUAUAUCCCUUAGACUGUUCUGGAGAAAAAGAAGAGUGUUUUUUGAUAACCAGACAGUGCUUUCUCUCCCAGUUUUAUUCUGGCUGCUUUCAGUGCUGACUGUGUGCCAAAUAUUGUCCCAGUUUCAAUCUUUCAAAUAGUUCUUACUCUCUGUUCAGCUCUUUUCUUUUUCCCACACCUCCCUGCCUCAUUUCUUCCAUGUCUCCCUUUUGAGAGUCCUCUUUGCUUUUCUAAUCAUUUUCAGUUAUCUGUUCAAAUACUUCUUAAUAUUGACAAAGCAAAAACAGAAAGCAGAUGUAUUUUCUAAACAGGCCAAGAUAAGGGUAUUAUCUGUAAUAAGCAUAGAAGAUAGCAGUUGAAAGUCCCAAAAGCACACUGGUCUGUUUUGUUGUUAUAUCUCUUUGUAAACUCGUGUUUAGGAGAGAGUACUGGGUAAAUUACAAGACAGUAGAUAUGGAUUUCACAUCAAGCAGAAAUUGCUUUGCAAUUGGGGUAACUUAACCUUUCUCUCCUUCUGUGCUUAUUCUUAGGGAUGUUGCAAGACUAAAUAUAAAAGAACUUUAAAGAAGUUUCUUACCAUAUACUCAGAGGAGCUGUCUAGAGCAAAGCAAGUAGCAACUAUGUCUGAUAUCCACUUUAGUUUAGGCAGAAGAUGAAGGAGAAAGAGCACAACAGAAAGGAGUAAAUGAAGUUAAGACCAGAGGAGAAUAAAUGCUUUAAGAAAAUAAUUAACAAAUAUGUUUGAUUAACUGCUAUAUAUCCACAUAACUGAACGUGCCCUCAUUUUUCUGUUUUCAGUCAUCAUCUUGUUCUGUUUAUGAAGCAACGUUUCAAAUCUCAUCCUACAGCCUUCCUGUAUCACAGAGCUUUACUAGCAGCUGAUGCUGCUGUGGGCUGUGUCUUGUAGGGGAAUUAAUUUUGCCUAAGAGCCCACAGUUCAGCUGUUCUUAAGACAGGACUGUAACCUUAUAGGCAAAACACUGAUUUUUGUCAAAAGGAAAAGAAACUGACAGUCAGCUCUGCCAGAGUUUGUACAUACAUAUUUAAUUUUACUGCAAAGCACAGAUUAGGAAAUUGUCUGCAUGCUUUAUUAAGCGAUAGUAGAAAUUGAUUAAAGCAAUUGAUUGUACCCUGUGCAAGGAAGUAUUUAUGGUCAUUACAUUGAUGCCAAAAAGCACCUGUCAGCUUCAGAAAGGGCAUCUACUGAUUUGUUGACAGGCGAUUUCAUAUUUUCUUUUUACAGAAGCUUUUAUCAAGGGCUUGCUUGAACUAGAUGAUCUUGAACAGAUAUUUCCUUUUUGCCAGAUGCUGAAAUGCAAUUUUAGCUACAUCAUGUGGCGUUUUGUCGAUUUGUUUAAAAUCCACACUGAGAGGUGUUGAAACAGUCACUUUCCAUAGCGAUGUCCAUUAUGUUGUCCCUUCCUACCCACAAAUGCAGUUGUGUACUUGCUGAACUUGUUUAGUGGGACCUGUUAGAUUCUGCACUGGAUUAUUCAAUAGAAAAUUUCAGCAUUUCUGUUUUAAGCAGCUUCCUUUGGGGGGGCUAUUGUGGGACCUAUGGCAGUGUAGCAGUUUGCAAGAGAAAGAAGAAAGAACUGGACAAAGGGGGCAGAAGAACUCUCAUAACACAACUGCAGUGUUGCUUUCCUGAAUGAGUCUGCCAUAUGUUUUCCUUCUCCAGGCCCCUCCAUAAAUGCAUAACGCAGCUUGUGUUGAGAAUAUACUGCAGUGUGAGGUUUUCAGUGGCCAGGCUUGGUUUGUCAUUUAGAAAAAUAGAUGAGACAUUUUGGAUAUUGUUCUGCUUUGAGGUAAAGUGUGUCCCUGUCUCGAGAUGAUUCAGACAUUUGUUAUGUUUUCUGACUUUGUGCUUCUGCCUCUUCUGGGCCAUGAGUAGUACAGAUUACUUUUAUUUUAUAGUCUAAGCUAAUGUGUUUGCAAAUUGCAAUGAAAGAAUCUCAGAAAAUUACUCUAUACAUCAGCGGAGACAGAACAAAUGUUGGGCUUUUUUUUUUCCUUUCAAACUGCUCCAGUGUGCUAUUUGAGUGCAAAUCAGUAGUUUUUAUGAAGUGGCUGAAGUUAGGUCUGAAUAAUCUAUAUUUCAGAGAAUCUAAUAAUCAAAAAUUUAACAAGUUUCCUCAAGAUGGAUAGGAAGAUUAAAUUAAAGGGUGGUUUAUGUUAACAUUUGGCUCUACAAAGAGGGAGAAAUAUUGCUGUGUGAAAUACUUAGCUUCAUUAGCAAAAGUAGCCCAAUUAAAAUAUUUGCCAUAUGGGUUUUGUAGGGAUUUCAAAUAGACCUUUCUUGAAUUUUCCUUGAUUCAGAGAUGCUUACAUUAAAUGUGACACAUGAGAUGAUAAUUGUGAGGUAAUUAUUUGAUUUUCACUAAACAGACAUUUCCAUUAGAUUCCUUCUGGCAAUAUCUUGCUGAGGAAGUUCAUUUUAUAGCCAAAUACAAUAUCAAAAUGUCUUCUCUUUACUCAACUAUGUAAGGAACAAUAACCAUAACUACCUCUUUUAAUGUUCUUAGCCAUCUGUACCUAGACACUCUGCGAUGUAUGAUGUGCUGCUUUCUGAUUAGGCUAUGAGACUUGCUGAACGUGGACUUGAUGUUUCUCUUUUCCUCUAGUGUAGACUUGCAAAACCAGCACUUGCCUUUUAUCCUGCUUUUUGUAAUAGUAUCUUUGCAUAUAAUCUACAAGGAUUGGCUGUUAAGCUCUGCUGUCACGGCCCAGGAUGACACCUGUGAUUAAAAGGUCUUCCUGAAUUCUGCCAGACUCUAGGUUUUUGCAUCUAGUUUCAAGAUGAAAAAAGUCAUGGUGCUUCAAAGCUUCAUCUCUACAAGUGCAAAAUCUGCCACAUUUUUCAGGCAGGGGCACAUAAUAUGUAAAAAAUGUUUCAAGAUACUGAAAUGAGACCUUUGUAUGAGGUGAUGGCAUUAUGAUUUCAGACCCAAAUCCCCUGUUGCAAUAGACUGCUUAAAGCUUUUCCUCUGCUUCCGUAGGUGUGGAGAUUAAUUUUACUUUAGAUGCCCUGGCCAACCCUACUGAGAUCACUGAACAGGUAGGGAAGCCAAGGCAGGCAGGUAGUACCUUACUGUGUGCCACCGGCCCUGGCUCAACCAUGUUACACUGAGACACCACCUGUGCUUGGUUAGAAGCUCUGGAAAUUAAAUUCUUCUCUCAUUUGCACAACCAAAUGGCCUGAUGACCAUUUGUAUCUGCUGAACUCUGCAGCUUCUGCACAUUAAGGUAACAUUUGCAACCAUGGCCACUGUAGUGCUUUGCCCAACCUGUUUUUGUCACUCAGGAUUUGCUCUCAUUGUUCAGGUGUUUCAUCAGCACGUUGUAGCCUUUCUGUAAGCUGCAGUUUGCACUGCUCUUGGAAUUCAUGUAUUUUAUACACAGACAAUGCUUUUGCCUACCUCUUUUUCUGUUUGGUUUGGUUUAUUUGUUGAUGUCUGUGUGAUUGCUUACUGAUGUCUAGGAAAAAAGGAGAAGCUCUGAAGUACUGAAACAUAUACAGACUGGUCAUCAAGUCACCGGUGUUUGAAGAUCAGUGUUACUGAUGAGCAUGUCUCGUUGCUUCUCUAAUGGCACUGUGUGCAGCCUCCCCCAGGAGACAGGGCUGUCUGCUACAAUGAUGGUCACUGGAAAAACAAUGUUCCGGACAGUAAUAAACAAAAUGACACUUGUCAGUGUCAGAAGUAGACUGUGACAAAUGUGAAUAUAGCAGACUGUUAAAAAAAAAAAAAAACCACAGCUGUCUUAAGUUCUCUAAUUUCCAGGGGCAUCUCUAUAGAUAGUGUUAUUAUCA